AUGCAGCGGUGCCACGGAAAGGACAAGGCGGCUACCAGCGCGACGCCGCACCACGCAAAGGGCAAGGCGGCCGCGAGUGCGAUGCCGUACCACGCAAAGGAUAAGGCUGCUACUUGCAGCGCGAUGGGGCCGAAGCAUGUCCUCGCAGACGAGAACAUCGUGCAGGAGCACUUAGCACCUCCGGAUCGAAUUCGACAGAGGGGUUUGGAUAGUGCAAAGGAGGGAUCAUCAUCGCUGGUUAUGGGCUUCCGUAGAGAGAUGUCGCAAAAGCGAGGGGAGAAGGUGGAUACAACCUCAAUUCAUCAGAAGCAUAAUGCAAAGGAGAAGACUUGCCCCCCUGAUCUGCUCCGCCGGCAGACGCAGGGUAUCCAGCGGCCUGUCAAGAGUCUUGCCGGAGAGAUGUCGCUGAAGCAAAGGGAGAAGGUGGGUACAGGCCUGAUUCCACAGGCGCAUAAUGCAAAGGAGAAGACAUGCCCCCCUGAUCAACUCCGCAGGCAGACGCAGGGUAUCCAGCGGCCUGUCAAGACUGAAGCACGACUUGCUGGAGAGAAGAAGCACAAAACUGAAGCACAUCUCGCCGGAGAGAAAAAGCACACGAAAGGCAAUGCGUCUUUUCCAGCGAAAAGAACCACUACACUACUCAAAGCAAGAACGAGUUCCCACUGUUCCGAUGAAUGUACCAGUCGUCCCAUCGAUACUAACGACCAUGGCAACACUGUUGCCACCCCGGAACAGAGGGAAGAAUCUGCCGCAAUCAAGAUAGAUAAAGAAGUGGAGUACAUAACCCAAAAGUUGAACAAGUUGGGAGUGCGAGAUGAUAUUGGCUUUGAGGAGUACUAUAAAUGCUUGAUGAAUCUGCCUUCCGACCCCUCCGUUGAUACUUCCAUCAGAUUGGAUGAUACAGAUCUUUAUGACAUGGACAUCCGCCACGCGGUGUAUCGCAUCAGAUCCUACAAGUUGUCACAAAAGGAGUCUAAGAAUGAGUUGUGCCAUGAUAAACUGAAAGAUUGCCCUGUGGAGCUUCUUGACAGGGACGAAUUUCCUACAGAUUUCCUCGUGAAGAUGCAAUAUUUUAGGUUCUUGGAGGAAGGUGUAUUAGACUGGUUCUUCCACCCUGAACUCUGCAAGCUUGCUUGCCUGAAUGACUACCAGCGUCUAGUGCCUCGGGAUCAUGUACGUAUAUAA
This 1185-nucleotide ribosomal RNA is filed under the name Triticum aestivum (bread wheat). RNAcentral's name for it is "partial small subunit ribosomal RNA". The record is from RNAcentral. Lineage: Eukaryota; Viridiplantae; Streptophyta; Magnoliopsida; Poales; Poaceae.